Long non-coding RNA from Mesocricetus auratus (golden hamster), 1196 nucleotides. RefSeq lists it as uncharacterized. Lineage: Eukaryota; Metazoa; Chordata; Mammalia; Rodentia; Cricetidae. The record is from RefSeq and is a predicted model, not a curated record. The transcript has 4 exons.
AAGAGCCGAGCUGCAUAUGUAAUGAAGUGCUUUAGGAUUACGUCACCUUUUAUAUAACAUCUGGCAGUGACUUUUAUUUCAGAGCUAAUUUGAAGAAGCCAGGAGCUUUUUUUUUUUUUUCCCCUUCCUCUCCCGGAGCCUGCCUUUAUCUGAAAGAAGAAAAAGGAACAGUUACAUUUUGCAUGCAAAGAAAACCAGUGUGGCUAGGUUGUUCCCUUGGGGUAAUGAAGAAAGGAAAAAAGGACCUGAAAAGGGUCAGGUGAAUAAGGCAGAAGGAAUGGAGAGCUUUGUGGGAUUCUUAGUGAGACCGGACUGAUUUGAGCAACCACACAGGUGACCUGGGUGGCUGGGUCCUUCCUGUCUAUCUCUUCUGCCCUCGCUUGGUCUGGCUGCACACGCCCGAACCAAGAAUACCACAGCAGUAAUCUGACUGUAAAUAUCUGAUCCGAAGUGAGAGAUUAUAAAAAUGACUGAGAUGAUUGCAGAAAGUCCUUCAGUUUCUUCCUUUAUCGUUUGAGGAGAAAGCCACCCCUCCAAACAACAUCUGCCUUCCCCGUGGUGUCUAGAAGCACACAUCUGUCAUUGUAUUCAUGCGGUCAGCUUGCCUCUUUUUUUUUUCUAUCUAUACUGACAAUGGUGAAGGCCUAGGCAAUAGAAUCCCCUCUCUUGAAACUGAGGGUUCUGGAGGCUUGGGGAGCCUCUUUGCAUUUCUCCUUUUCCCCACUUGAAGUUUCUCUGCACAGCUUGUCUUGGCACAGCCUGGCCCUGACUGAACUGUGUUUGAUGACCUCACUGUCCUCCUUCAUGUAAAAACACCUUCACAGGAUGGAAGGAAGGAAGGAAGGAAGAUAAAAGCAUUCUUUUCAGUGGAAUGUCAAGAGAAGUGUCUUCUGUCUCCAGACUCUUGGAACAGGCAGGAGGCUGAGGAAAGGCUGUGGGGACUGUGCCCUGGGGAGCUCCAGGCAUGACACAAGACUUGAACAGAUCCUGUCCAGUGAACAGAGUGUUAAUCACUGCAGAGACGUGGGUGUUGGUGCUGCAGGUCUGUAAUCUCAGCACUCAGGAAGCAGAGAAAGGAGGACCAGAAAUUCAGGACCGUCCCUUGCAACAUAUUGAAUCUGAAGCCAGCCUGUGCUACACGAGACCCUGUCUAAAAAUAACCAAAAACCCAACUAAAACAACAACCACAAAACCAA